This 1091-nucleotide long non-coding RNA is filed under the name Equus caballus (horse). RNAcentral's name for it is "lncRNA (ENSECAG00000046655.1)". The record is from RNAcentral. Lineage: Eukaryota; Metazoa; Chordata; Mammalia; Perissodactyla; Equidae.
CGGGAGACCAGAAUGUGGCUAUCAUGGAGUCAUUCGAUUUUAACAGAGAUCCUUUCUCUAUAACUAAUUCAACGCAUGGCUAUAUGGGUAAUUUUGAACAAGUGGAUCUUUCUCCAACCUGAACGGCUGCCAGGACGGAGAGAAGCACAGACAAAAACCAAUCCAAGACAAAACAACUUCCUGACUGUGGAGGAAAAGGAGCAAUGAGAUAAAGAAGAGAACAACGGAAUAAGUUGUGGCUCAGGGGCCCGAGAAUUGGCCUUCCACCCUGCCCUCUCCUAAGACCAAUCCCUGAUGAUCCUGAGGAUCAUCAAAACUCCACAGAUGUUUGGGGGGUUCCAGGGAAAAGAUAAAUUCCCCACAUCCAAGAUAGAGUAGGGAGACCUCAACCCUUUAGAGAAGCUGUGUAGAGCCUGGAACUUCAGCUGUAGAGUAGAAAUGGCUAGAGAAGAGCAUGCAACAAUAUUCCAAGCUCUGAGAGACAUAAAUAGAGAGGAGCAAACCAGGCACUAUGAUCUAGGGAGAGAACAGAAUGACCACAGAGGUGGCCUGUGAGCAGAGAAGUAUGUUUCAGUCAAGCAUGCAAUGAGCUGGUUCCACGAAACCAAAGACCAGCAAUGAUCAUACGUCUCGUCAGAAACCAAGAGCACCUAUUAUGUGCUAGGUGAUGUUCUAGUCCUUGGAUCCAGCGCUGAAAAAAACAGCUAAGUGUGCUGUUGUGAUUUCUGCAAUGUAUGGAGAUUUCCCCAAAUGUAGGAGGUUAACGGAUGACGUUACACCUGCCUAGCAGUAGCAGACAUCAUGAUUUCUAAGCCACAGGGAUUCCCUUUGUGGCAUCCAGCUUUCUUCUGAAGACCCCGCUUUGUGCCUUGUGGCUGAUUCCUAUCCUCACUCUCUAUAGAAGUCUUUCUCCAUCAUCUCUUUCCCUCAGAUCCAGGGGUUUCUCUGAAACAUUUCUCUCUUGAGCCUACAAAAGAAAAUGGAAAAUUGAUUUAAAAAAGGUAGAACAGAAUCACGUAGCUUAUUUUGUCUUGUCUUAGUGCCCUGGACCUUAACUUUCAUAAACAAAAGCCGCACGACAGUGUUUGCUG